CAGUUCAACCAGUCGGUGUAUAGAGUUGUUGUGCCUGAAGACAGUGUAGAAGGAACACUUGUGGCCCGCGUGAACGCAAUGGAUCCGGACUUAGGAAUAUAUGGAGAAGUUCUUUACGAAAUUGAUAGUUACAUUCCUGUCACAGCCACCGAUGUAUUCCACAUCGAUGCGAACAGCGGGGAGAUCAGACUGACGGGCGCCCUGGAUUAUGAGACAAUUAAUUUCUACGAUAUACAAAUAAAGGCAAAAGAUAAGGGGAUGCCUCCAUUAUCAGGUCACUGCAAGGUGGUGUUGGAAGUGCUGGACGUGAACGACAACGCGCCGGAGGUGUGGGUGACGUCGCUGUCGGUGCCGGUGCCGGAGGACGCGUCGUUGGGGACGGUGGUGGCGCUGCUGAGCGUGUCGGACGGCGACUCGGGGGCGAACGGUCGGGUGCGGUGCGCGGUGUGGCCGGCGUCGCCGUUCGGUCUGGUGUCGAGGUUCGCGGGGUCGUACUCGCUGGUGCUGCGGGAGGCGCUGGACCGGGAGCGGGUGUCGGAGUACGAGGUGGAGGUGCGCGCGGAGGACGGCGGGUCGCCGCCGCUGCGCGCCAGGCGCGGGGUGCGCGUGCCGGUGUCGGACGUGAACGACAACGCGCCGUCGUUCCUGCAGGCCGUGUACACGGUGCUGGCGCGGGAGAACAACGCGGCGGGCGCGGAGCUGGGGCGCGUGUGGGCGCGGGACCCGGACGAGGCGGGCAACGGUCGCGUGAGCUACUCGCUGUGGGAGGGCGGCGUCGGGGGCGCGUCGGCGUCGUCGGGGUGGCGCGCGGCGUCGAGCUACGUGUCGGUGGAGGCGGAGAGCGGUCGGGUGUGGGCGCUGCAGCCGCUGGACUACGAGGAGGUGCAGGUGCUGCAGUUCGAGGUGCGUGCGGUGGACGCGGGGGAUCCGCCGCUGAGCGGCAACGCCACGGUGCAGGUGUUCGUGGUGGACGAGAACGACAACGCGCCGGCGCUGCUGCCGUCGUCGGUGGGCGGUGGCUGGGGCGGCUCGUCGUCGGUGGAGGCGGAGGCGGUGGAGGCGGGGUCGCUGUGGGCGUGGGCGUCGUGGGGCGCGCCGGCGGGUCAGGUGGUGGCGAAGAUCCGUGCGGUGGACGCGGACUCGGGCUACAACGCGUGGCUGCGGUACGAGUUGUGGGAGCCGCGUGGGAAGGGCCCGUUCCGCGUGGGUCUGUACAGCGGCGAGGUGACGACGUCGCGGGCGCUGGAGGAGGCGGACGGUCCGCGUCAGAGGCUGGUGAUCGUGGUGCGGGACCACGGGGAGCCGUCGCGCUCGGCCACGGCCACGCUGAGCGUGUCGCUGGUGGAGGGCGGCGAGGCGGCGGCGGCGGCGUCGGGGGGCUCUUCGUCGUCGUCGUCGUCGUCGUCGGGUCUGCGUCCGUGGUCGGGGUCGGAGGGCGUUGGGUCGUCGUCGGGAGCGUCGUCGACGAACGUGUGGCUGGUGGUGGCGAUCUGCGCGGUGUCGAGCGUGUUCCUGCUGGCGGUGGUGCUGUACGGGGCGUCGCGGUGGGCGCCGCGGGCGGCCGUGCUGUCGGGGGCCGGUCCGGCGACGCUGGUGUGCGCCAGCGAAGUGGGGAGCUGGUCGUACUCGCAGCGCCAGAGCCGGAGCCUGUGCGUGGCGGAGGGCGCGGGCAAGAGCGACCUGAUGGUUUUCAGCCCCAACUUCCCGCCGCCGCCCGGCCCCGCGGCGAAGGAGACGCAGCCGGAGCCGCCCGCUCUGCUGGACACGGUCAGUGCCCGCCCGUUAUCGCCUCUCGCCCCUUCCCCCGACCCCUCCUCCCUCCUCCUCGCCCUCGUGUGCCUUGUGUCCCCGGGCAGUCGCUGUUGGGAGUCGGGCUGCGUGGGCGGGUCGGGCGGUGGGUGGGUGGGUGUUUGUCGGGUGCUUAAGGAUGUGAAUGGCACCUUUGCAUCUGCCUUUGUGUCCUUGCCGAAGUCCCCCGCCUCCUGCUUAGCGGGAUAA
Calidris pugnax (ruff) is the source of this 1998-nucleotide RNA transcript. It is a transcript of the gene named protocadherin alpha-2 pseudogene, with no coding region annotated. The record is from RefSeq and is a predicted model, not a curated record. The transcript has a single exon. NCBI's taxonomy places the organism in Eukaryota, Metazoa, Chordata, Aves, Charadriiformes, Scolopacidae.